UUCUGUUAAGAGACAAAUAUUUGAUUUUCUCUUUUCACUCCUUUAUAGAUAACAGACAGUUCAGAGUGCACAUAUCGUAACAUAGAUCUGCAUUGUUUCUGUGCAGGUCAUUGCAAACUCGCUCUACAAGUUCAUUUACAUAAUAUAUCACCUGUCAAACUUCAGGGUUUGUCUAUGACAGAAGGUCAAAAAUAUUUCAACAUUAUUUCUCGCAGCAACAAAAGUAGAAAGUUCAGACGUACAAACGGACGUUACAAUCUGCUCUGAAUAUUACAGAAUAUUCAGGAUAUGUUCUCAGAUAUACACCGCUUAAAUCCUGCACACUGGCCCUUUCACUUUUCAGGUGGCCCAGAGAGAAAAAAUUCUCCUGUGUGAAUUAAAUGGCAGCUUCAGGUCUUUUAAAAACAGAGUUUUAACUUAGCCUGAACUGGCUUUUAUGGUGUGUUUUUCUUGUCAAUUUAUUGUAACUGGAGGACUUUUUGCAAGUGCAGCUUUACAAAACAACAACCCAACAGAAAGAGGAUGCUUUUCUUACAGCAGGGUUCAGACUUUGUUGUAAUGGGAGAUGGUGGAAGCAGUGAAAUGCAGAUGAAAAACCACCAACAGAAGGACACAGAGGACAAGAAGAAUUGCACUGACUUUGGAAAGAACAGAUUACUUGUUUAUGUCGGUAUUAUUUAUAUUAUUAUUGAUAAAUUGAUGCAACAGGCAGCAGUUUUGAAACUAGAGCCCUAAAAGCUCCGAAUGUCUGUCACAUUAUCUGCAAUCUUGUUUGAGAGAACAUCAUUAGAUCUGGAAGGGCGAGUCCUCGAUCGGCAGAGCUGACACAGAUGGUUUUGUUCAGCAGGAAUUCUGCCUCGCCUCUCGUCACGAGUCUGGUUUUUUUUGCAGCAGUUCUCAAUAACAACACGACUCCUGCACAGACUCCUGGGGGCCGAGGCGGGUUCAGCUGCCCCUUUAUACUGUAUGGUAGGUAGAGGAGGAGACCUCUGUGGAUAACUGGACUCCCGGUAGAAACCUCCUGAGCCAUGAACACUGAAGGAAUCCUAACCGGGAGAAGCUCAAACUUGGUCUUUUGUUGUUAAUUUGAUGUGAGAGACCCCCUAGUGGUAGAAAUUACAUACUGUGCGCUUUAACAUGUUUCAUAAUGAGAAAAGUAAAUCUGGCAAAAUACUUUCUGCAGUUUGGUGUUAGAGGAUUUUACUCAACAGGGUUCUGCAACAAUAAAUGGCGGAGGAAAAGGAGAUGACUGGUUGCUCUGUAAACAAUGUGCCCGGAAAAAAACAGGAUAAACUCAGUGUUUCCUCUAGGAUUUUUUUUUAGCAGUGGCGGCAGGCCCGUCCCGUCGCGCCGGCAAACGUUUUACGUAUGAAACAGAAGUGACACUUCGCUGCGACACAAACAAAUAUAUUUACCGUUUUAAUGUUUCCAGAUGUUUGAUAUCAGGACGUUGAGCUGAGAACUGACAAGUUGAACGUUGUCCAAUUAAAACGGACCCACCGCGGUGACGUUUUUGGUGGAGCUGUUAGUUUAAUAGUCGACUUGGAAGAAAGUUAACGUUUUGACAAUAAGCUCCAUCAACACAACAGUAUGUGGAGUUAAACUGGACAGCCCCAAUAACCUCUGAAUAGUUCUACUUGUUGUUAAAUUGCAAUGUGAGCGGCAGCCAGCGGGGGUGCAUUAUGUCAGCAGGAUCAUUUAAAAGGCAACCGUGACUACAUUGUGCGUCUGCCCCAUUUCUGAUACCGUGGCGGCAGAAAUUUAACAGCGACGGGCCGCCGCUCCAAAGUCAACAUAGAGGAAACACUGUAAACUGGAAGACAAUCCAAAAAAAUUACAACAAGGAAGGAAAAUAUUAAGAAAAGCCUUUAUUGUAGAGGCUAAAUCACAUUUUGACCACCGUUGGUCUUCGUCGGGGUUUUAAACAACAAAUAAAUAAAAAAAUAAAUGGCGGACCCUGCCUUCAUUUGCAAUUGACCACCAUUAGUUUUAGAUGCAAUGGUGAGUUUAGGUGCCG
This is a long non-coding RNA of Dicentrarchus labrax (European seabass), 2017 nucleotides long. RefSeq lists it as uncharacterized. Lineage: Eukaryota; Metazoa; Chordata; Actinopteri; Moronidae. The transcript has 2 exons. The record is from RefSeq and is a predicted model, not a curated record.